AGCGGCAACAGCAGGCGUACGCACCAAUACGCGCCCUGGGCGUGCCAGAGCAGUCGUCCGCCCUGCCAGCCGGCCAGUCGUCGGGCGGCUUCCACGGCCGCCGGCAGCCAGCGCCGGCCUUCUUCCGCCUGGCCGAGGAUGUCCAGGCGCAGCCGGCCGUGGCGUGCGUCCAGCGCCGGAUUCAGUGUGAUGCGCUGCCACGGGCGGGCCUGCGCGGCGCCGCCGAGCAGGCCGUAGAGCGCCUCGUGCAAGGCCGGGCGCCAGCUUUCCAGCGGCCAGGUGCCGCGUUCCGGCAGGUUCAGGUCGAGGCGCGCCCAGCGAUGCCGCAGUUGCUGGGCGACCUGUCCCAGCUCGACCGCCAGGACCAGCGAUUGCGGUUCGUCGCCGGGAGGUUCCGGCGGCGGCGCGAUGGCCUGGGCGAGCGGGCGUUCAUCGAGGAACAACGAAGCGGGAAGAGUCAUGCCGGAUGCUCCUGGGGAAUUGUUCAUCUGGGCGCGGCGUCAUUCGGUCGCCUUGCGCCGUAGCGGCAGGCUGAGGGUGGCGAUGAAGCCGCCGUCG
This 558-nucleotide small RNA is filed under the name Pseudomonas aeruginosa PAK. RNAcentral describes it as "putative antisense RNA". The record is from RNAcentral. Lineage: Bacteria; Pseudomonadati; Pseudomonadota; Gammaproteobacteria; Pseudomonadales; Pseudomonadaceae.